Molecule: non-coding RNA, 119 nt
Filed under: Helianthus annuus (common sunflower)
Lineage: Eukaryota; Viridiplantae; Streptophyta; Magnoliopsida; Asterales; Asteraceae
Source: RNAcentral
GAGAGCGCAGUACAACGGAGAGUUGUAUGCUGCGUUCCGGAAGGAUGAAUCGCUCCGGAAAAGGAAUCUAUUGAUUCUCUCCCAAUAGAUUGGACCGUAGGUGCGAUGAUUUACUUCAC